This 612-nucleotide ribosomal RNA is filed under the name Oryzias hubbsi. RNAcentral describes it as "partial 16S ribosomal RNA". It matches the Rfam family "Bacterial large subunit ribosomal RNA", at positions 1797 to 2619 of the family's 2925-position model. The record is from RNAcentral. Lineage: Eukaryota; Metazoa; Chordata; Actinopteri; Beloniformes; Adrianichthyidae.
CGCCUGUUGAUCAAAAACAUCGCCUCCUGAAAACUACCAUAUAAGAGGUACUGCCUGGCCCUGUGACUCUAAAGUUUAACGGCCGCGGUAUUUUGACCGUGCAAAGGUAGCGCAAUCACUUGCCUUUUAAAUGAAGGCCCGUAUGAAUGGCAUAACGAGGGCUUAACUGUCUCUUUCCCCCUGUCAAUGAAAUUGAUCCCCCCGUGCAGAAGCGAGGAUAAAAACAUAAGACGAGAAGACCCUGUGGAGCUUUAGACCAUAAGCAGGCCAUGUUAAGGACUAUAAACACAGACCUCAAACAAAUUGGAUGCUGCUCUAAUGUCUUUGGUUGGGGCGACCGCGGGGAAAUAAAUAACCCCCAUGUGGAUUAAGAAUAUAUUCUUAAAACCAAGAGCCACCGCUCUAAGAAUCAGAAUAUCUGACCUUGUGAUCCGGACAUCCGAUCAACGAACCUAGUUACCCCAGGGAUAACAGCGCAAUCCCCUUCUAGAGCCCAUAUCGACAAGAGGGUUUACGACCUCGAUGUUGGAUCAGGACAUCCUAAUGGUGCAGCCGCUAUUAAGGGUUGGUUGUUCAACAAUUAAAGUCCUACUUGAUCUGAGUUCAGACCGG